This 724-nucleotide ribosomal RNA is filed under the name Actinomycetes bacterium. RNAcentral describes it as "bacterial SSU rRNA". It matches the Rfam family "Bacterial small subunit ribosomal RNA", at positions 131 to 867 of the family's 1533-position model. Lineage: Bacteria; Bacillati; Actinomycetota; Actinomycetes. The record is from RNAcentral.
CUUCACUCUGGGACAAGCCCUGGAAACGGGGUCUAAUACCGGAUAACACUCUGUCCCUCAUGGGAUGGGGUUAAAAGCUCCGGCGGUGAAGGAUGAGCCCGCGGCCUAUCAGCUUGUUGGUGGGGUAAUGGCCUACCAAGGCGACGACGGGUAGCCGGCCUGAGAGGGCGACCGGCCACACUGGGACUGAGACACGGCCCAGACUCCUACGGGAGGCAGCAGUGGGGAAUAUUGCACAAUGGGCGAAAGCCUGAUGCAGCGACGCCGCGUGAGGGAUGACGGCCUUCGGGUUGUAAACCUCUUUCAGCAGGGAAGAAGCGAAAGUGACGGUACCUGCAGAAGAAGCGCCGGCUAACUACGUGCCAGCAGCCGCGGUAAUACGUAGGGCGCAAGCGUUGUCCGGAAUUAUUGGGCGUAAAGAGCUCGUAGGCGGCUUGUCACGUCGGAUGUGAAAGCUCGGGGCUUAACCCCGAGUCUGCAUUCGAUACGGGCUAGCUAGAGUGUGGUAGGGGAGAUCGGAAUUCCUGGUGUAGCGGUGAAAUGCGCAGAUAUCAGGAGGAACACCGGUGGCGAAGGCGGAUCUCUGGGCCAUUACUGACGCUGAGGAGCGAAAGCGUGGGGAGCGAACAGGAUUAGAUACCCUGGUAGUCCACGCCGUAAACGUUGGGAACUAGGUGUUGGCGACAUUCCACGUCGUCGGUGCCGCAGCUAACGCAUUAAGUUC